UAUUUAGGCGGUUAACAAUAAAUAAUAGCCUUCUCUACUAACCUUCUCCCUUCCUUCAUUCAAAUCAUCAUGGCGGCCAUGGAAACCGAGGCUGCCACCACUCCACACCUGGCUCUCUCUGAUACAGAUAUCAACUGGGACAGGUUGGAUAAGACAAAAUUCCACAUAAUUGGUGCAAUACUCUUCACAGCUCAAUCAGCAUUACUUCAUCCAACGGCUGUGGUGAAGACAAGGAUGCAAGUAGCUACUUCAGGGCUCUCCAACAUGAAGGGAACAUCAGUGUUCACGCACAUUUUAAAGAGUGAUGGAAUUCCUGGAAUCUUUAGAGGUUUUGGAACUUCUGCUAUUGGAUCAAUACCUGGUAGGGUUUUAGCCCUCACUUCUCUUGAGAUGUCAAAGGACAUUGUCUUGAAACACACUCAAGGUAGUGAUAUUCCACAAGCAUCAAGGGUUGCUCUUGCAAAUGCUGUUGCUGGCAUGGUUUCAAAUUUGGUAUCUUGUGUUUACUUUGUGCCUUUGGAUGUGAUCUGUCAGAGGUUAAUGGUUCAAGGUCUUCCGGGAACUACAUGUUGUAGAGGACCAUUUGAUGUUAUCCGUAGAGUAGCGCAGGCCGAGGGUUUUCGUGGCUUGUAUAGAGGUUUUGGAUUAACAGCAGUAACCCUGUCGCCAGCAUCUGCAAUUUGGUGGGGUUCAUAUGGGGCUGCACAGCACAUAAUUUGGAGGAGUUUGGGAUACAAAGAUGAUAUGGAAAAGAAGCCUUCACAUGUGGAAAUGGUGACAGUUCAGGCUACUGCUGGGAUGGUUGCUGGUGCUUGUUCCUCUGUUAUCACUACUCCCAUAGAUACCGUAAAAACACGACUUCAGAUUCCCUGCUGUUACACCCCUCAUUUGUUCGAUCUUAAUUACUGGUCAAGAUUGUACUAGUACAUUGUCUGAUUCAAAUCAAUGUCCGAGAUCGAUUACUGCGUGUAACCGUGUGAUAUGACCACAACUGGGAAUCCAGGUCCACAAAAUUCAUAGUUCUUGUUGGAAAGUCUAUCCAAACUGGCUCUUUUAGGACUUUGGAUUGAUAUUCAUUUUUCACUCAAUCAAUCAGUUGGUUAUGGACAACUAUGGUUCUGGAAGACCAUCAGUACUGAAGACAGCAAGAACUCUCCUUAAGGAAGAUGGAUGGUGGGGAUUUUACCGAGGGUUUGGACCACGAUUUUUAAAUAUGUCACUUUAUGGAACAACUAUGAUUGUUACUUAUGAACUGAUAAAGAGAUUAUCAGUACAACCAAGUGUGAGUUCUUUUGCUUGAGAAGUGCAACCUUACUGUGAUGGCGGAGACAAAGAGUCAAGCUUGAUUUUAGCAUGCAUAGCUUGUGCUCAAGGACAACGAACGAAUAGUUUCGUUCAUCCUCAAGCAUUGCAUGAUGCAGUAUGGUAAGGUCCGAUGGGUCCGGUCUUACCAUAUUGCAUCAUGCCGUGCAUUAGAGGGAAUUUCCCUAAGAUGUGAAUCCUUUUUUAUAAUUUAAAUGAACACAACUUUAGUUUCUUAACAGCUGCAAUAGGUUUUUUUAUUUUUUUUUUAAUUCUUAUGUGAGGCGUAACAUGGAGAAUUGUAGUUUUUCAACUUAUUCUUCAUUUCUGGGGAUGUUGCUUGUAGCUAGAGCCUAAAAUGUUCAUGCAAUUUUGCAGAUAAAUGUAAUGUUACAAUGUCUUCUUUUGACAUUAUAGUUAUGUCAACUUUUGUCUGUUAUAUUCUAAGGCCAUGGUGAAUUGAUACUGAA
Molecule: non-coding RNA, 1772 nt
Organism: Cicer arietinum (chickpea)
Lineage: Eukaryota; Viridiplantae; Streptophyta; Magnoliopsida; Fabales; Fabaceae
Source: RefSeq, a predicted model, not a curated record